This is a non-coding RNA of Cinara cedri, 440 nucleotides long. The record is from the annotation of a GenBank genome assembly. Lineage: Eukaryota; Metazoa; Arthropoda; Insecta; Hemiptera; Aphididae.
AAUUAUAGUUGAUGUAUCGGAGAGGUUAUUAUAUGAUUUUCCAUGUAGUAUUCUUAACAACAGUUUUGUAAAACUCGUUAAAAUCGACUUGCGAAGUUUCGGUGGGUAACCGACAAUAUUCAUCGUGGCAUACACACACAAUACGCUGAUAUUCGAUUGAAGUUUUUAAUUGUUUAAUUUUUUUCCGGAAGGAAUAAGCCCACCAUCAUUAUUCCAUUAUGAGUCGGGCAAGUUCAUUGAAAUCUAUUUCGAGAGGAAUAUGUGAUAAAUAAUAUUCACGGACAUAUAUUACAUUAUAAAAUAAUAGCUGGUACCGAAAUCGCUCUGCGGUGACGGUAAAAUUGUAUAGUAUGCAGCAAUUUACCGUAGCCGUAUUUUGCCGCUGGUGGUUUACACAUACGUCACGCUGUGGGCUUUUACGUGUAUUUAAAUGAGUGAUG